UCAGCACACUGAGAUGAAGUAAUAUU
RNAcentral lists this non-coding RNA (26 nucleotides) under Homo sapiens (human). Lineage: Eukaryota; Metazoa; Chordata; Mammalia; Primates; Hominidae. The record is from RNAcentral.